This 1126-nucleotide long non-coding RNA is filed under the name Pogona vitticeps (central bearded dragon). RNAcentral describes it as "lncRNA (ENSPVIG00000010606.1)". Lineage: Eukaryota; Metazoa; Chordata; Lepidosauria; Squamata; Agamidae. The record is from RNAcentral.
CCCUGUUAGACUACAACUCCCAGAAUCCUCUCCCCCUACAUGAAGUGUUACACUCCCUGCAGGUCCUCCAGCAACAGAUUUCAAAAUGGCUGCUUAGACUCCUGCCCUUUAAGCCUUGGCAGGUGCUCCUGGGAAGGAGCUCCCCCUCCACAACUGCUCCCUAAACACUUUGGUUCCUGCUCUUUAUAGGUCCCCCCAAGAACAGGCAGAAAUAACCGUCCAGAAGGAAGAAAAAGGGCUGAAAUCCAUAUCCACUCAGCCAGAUCUGCAGAAAACCUGGGAGGAAUUAGAAAAUCUAAAAGAGAAAUUCACCAGGCUGCAGGACGAGUAUAUGAAUACACGGAGCACCAACAAGUUGCUGGAAGAGAAACUUCAGAUUAUUGCUCAGAGCAUGGCCGACGAGAGGCUGAAUUUGAACCAGCGGAUCAAUGAGCUACUGGAGCGACUUCUCAGCGCACAAGACACCAUUUCCACCUUGGAGAAAAUUAACGUGAGUCCUUGCAGCUGAAGGGGGGGGGGUGGCGGCUGGAGGCGAUGGAAGAGAGACCCUCUAGACCAGCAGUUGGGUGAAGGAACCAAGAUGGAAUAGGAGCUAAGCCUAAGUGCAUCACUGUGAUAAGCAGGAUAUGGAAGGGGAAAGAAUCAAGAGAAAAAAGGGCUCUUGCACUUUUAGUUUUAGCAGGGUAGCUUGCUGCUAAAGGUGCAAAAGCCUUACUUUCUUUUGCACCUGGCUCUCCCCAGCAGGGAAAGCUUCACAUCUUCCCCUGCUGGCAACAUUCUAGGUCUGCCCUAAAACAAAUUCACUCAACUCUUCUGACUCUGCUCAUUUUUUAAAAAACUCUCUGCUUGCCUCGUAGUGAAAUAACUUGAAUUUCGCCCCUGGAUCUCCAAUUCAAAUUGGUUUGAAAUUAAUUAAGACUUCAAGGCAGCUAUGAAUUUGAAUUAACUGGCCACACAGAGAGAGGAGGAAAUUGGUUGGAUAGCCUUGUUUGCAGCUUGUUAACCUGCCUCUCUUGUAUCCCUGCGGGAAGCUCCUGAGAAGCUGUAAAGAAUGCUGAUCUGAUUUCCUCUCCUUGUUUCCUUUUUCUCUUUCUCUAAGUCCUUCCCCCACUUUGUUUAGAUGCCC